Molecule: small RNA, 583 nt
Filed under: Pan troglodytes (chimpanzee)
Lineage: Eukaryota; Metazoa; Chordata; Mammalia; Primates; Hominidae
Description: processed transcript
Source: RNAcentral
UGGAUUUCUUUUAAAUUCUCUGCUAUAGACCAAGAUAUGUUAUGAUUACAUUGAUUGACAGUUGUUGGAAUGGAUUUUUUAAAUUCUCUGCCAUAGACCCAGAUGUGUAGACAUUUGGGCAUGUUCUGUCCAACCCUACUUUCUGUAACCUCUCUUCGUUCCGUUGCCUGGAGAUGUGGAAUAGAGUAGAAUGGACUGUGUGUUUCUGAUCCACUGGGAAGAAAUCAGUUGUCCUUUUCUUGCACUGGUGGAAAGGCUUUGGGAGGCGGGAGCAGUUUGCAGAGGAGAGAGCUCACUGUGACUUCUGCCGUGUUCACCGUGGGAGACAACGUGGUUUCAGGCAGCGAUGACCGCACGGUGAAAGUCUGGGACUUGAAAAAUAUGAGAUCCCCCAUUGCAACUAUUCGCACGGACUCUGCCAUUAACAGGAUCAAUGUAUGUGUCGGCCAAAAAAUCAUAGCCCUCCCCCAUGACAACCGACAAGUGAGACUGUUUGAUAUGUCAGGAGUGCGCCUGGCGCGGCUUCCCCGGAGCAGCCGACAGGGCCACAGGAGAAUGGUGUGCUGCUCGGCAUGGAGUGAAG